UUCUCGUUAGAUCACCGAAGUGAAGCAUCAUUGGGCGCGGUCAGUACUUGGGUGGGUGACCACCUGGGAACACCGCGUGCCGUU
RNAcentral lists this ribosomal RNA (84 nucleotides) under Caerostris darwini. The record is from RNAcentral. Lineage: Eukaryota; Metazoa; Arthropoda; Arachnida; Araneae; Araneidae.